This is a long non-coding RNA of Hyaena hyaena (striped hyena), 809 nucleotides long. RefSeq lists it as uncharacterized. The transcript has 5 exons. NCBI's taxonomy places the organism in Eukaryota, Metazoa, Chordata, Mammalia, Carnivora, Hyaenidae. The record is from RefSeq and is a predicted model, not a curated record.
CUUCAUUUUAGGGAGGCAUAAAUUAUAGUCCAGAAUGAUUAAAGAUUUUGUGAUAUCAUAAAGAGAAACCCACCAUCAGAUCUUGAAAAUUACUCCUUAAGCAUGGUCUAUUGGAAAUAUUACCUUUAUGAUUGCAGAAGACUGCUUCUGCAUUCCACUUAACCAUCUAUUUCUGGAGAGUGUGACAUGUGAUAAAGCCAGUGGAUUCUGUCGUCAGAAGCCUACUGGAGCAUCUCUUUUACUAUGAAGUAUCCCCCCGGUCAUUACAUUGUGAGGAUAUCAAGCCACAGAGAAAGGCUCUUGUAGGUGUUCCAUUUGACAGAUCCAGCCAUGUCUAUCCCCAGAGUCAUCCUAUCCCUGGUAGAAGAAAGUCUUGAGAAGAAAGUUCUAGAUGAUUCCAGUAUCUUGCUGUUCAAAUAUUCCCAGAUCACAAUACCACGGACAUGAUAGGUGUGAUUCAUCAUGUAAUCAGGAGGAAAAUUAAUGGUAAAUUGAGGUCCAGGGGCAAAGAAACUGGCUUGUUUUCUGUAUUUACACUGUGAUUGUCAAUGACUAUUAUCUGCUGGGUCCAAAUAAUACUGGAAAUAGCUUCUUCAGGUCGGUAAUAUCAGCCAAAAUAAUGAAAUAGUAGCCGUGUCAGGAAGCAACCUCACCUGACUCCUCUAUUAGUUGGGAGAGAAUAUAAAGUGACCUGCCCUCCCUAACAUGAUCUUAGACCAAUUAUUAUAGUGCAUUGUUCUCAAAAGGCCAAGAUAUCUUAAACCAAUGCCCAUCGAUAAAAGCUUUUCCCAUAAACUCCUCCUAUUAAU